UGGGGAAUAUUGCACAAUGGGCGCAAGCCUGAUGCAGCGACGCCGCGUGGGGGAUGAAGGCCUUCGGGUUGUAAACUCCUUUCGCUAGGGAAGAAGCCACUUGUGGUGACGGUACCUGGAUAAGAAGCACCGGCUAACUACGUGCCAGCAGCCGCGGUAAUACGUAGGGUGCGAGCGUUGUCCGGAAUUACUGGGCGUAAAGAGCUCGUAGGUGGUUUGUCGCGUCGUCUGUGAAAUUCCGGGGCUUAACUUCGGGCGUGCAGGCGAUACGGGCAUAACUAGAGUGCUGUAGGGGAGACUGGAAUUCCUGGUGUAGCGGUGAAAUGCGCAGAUAUCAGGAGGAACACCGAUGGCGAAGGCAGGUCUCUGGGCAGUUACUGACGCUGAGGAGCGAAAGCAUGGGUAGCGAACAGGAUUAGAUACCCUGGUAGUCCAUGCCGUAAACGGUGGGCGCUAGGUGUGGGGGUUUUAUUUACGAUUCCCGUGCCGUAGCUAACGCAUUAAGCGCCCCGCCUGGGGAGUACGGCCGCAAGGCUA
RNAcentral lists this ribosomal RNA (537 nucleotides) under uncultured bacterium. RNAcentral describes it as "bacterial SSU rRNA". It matches the Rfam family "Bacterial small subunit ribosomal RNA", at positions 355 to 896 of the family's 1533-position model. The record is from RNAcentral.